This is a long non-coding RNA of Triticum dicoccoides, 1367 nucleotides long. RefSeq lists it as uncharacterized. The transcript is spliced from 4 exons. Lineage: Eukaryota; Viridiplantae; Streptophyta; Magnoliopsida; Poales; Poaceae. The record is from RefSeq and is a predicted model, not a curated record.
CACACCGCACCCCACCAGCGCUCCCCAAGGACGCAUCUCUCCUCCAUCCCCUUUCUUUCUCUCUCCCGACACAUCUCGCCACAGCUCCGGUGCCUCCGCCUCAAGGAGAACUACAUCGCCCCCACGAACCACGGACCCAAGCCGGCGCAUGCGUGCAUCGAUUGUACGAUGUGCGGCGCUCCGUCGAGCUCGCCUGCCCGCGUGUUGGCCGACGGAGGGGAGAGCCGACCAGAGUCCUCCGCCACUGUCCGCGCCAGUUUUCUUCCCCGAUCCAGAUCCCAGCUCCCCGCGCGCGUGACCGCCACCACGAGGAGGCCGAGGCCGACAAGGCAGGGUCUCGCCCAGCGUGGUGACCUUCACAUCCAAAGUGUUCCCUUGCGGAGGAGCAGGGGUCGUGCUGGGAUGGAUAGCACCGGGGAGAAGCCCCUCCAGUGAUUUCAUGGGUUGCGGUUCGGCCGACGAGCUGGCCGACCAGGAGCAGGGGUUCGGGGACGCCCUCCGCACCGACAUGGCAGCAAGAUGUUCGUGCAACUGAGAUUGCAAACCUAAAACAGUAUAAAGCUCUCUCUUGGUGAUGCAAGGGCACACUACCUUUCAAAUGCCAAGAAUGAACUUGGAGUUGUUUUUUCCCAAAGUAUAGCUGGAGUACCUACUGCUGAUCCGGAGGCUGAGGAGGAAGAUGGAGCUGCACUUGAAGAUCCGGGGGCAAGAGGAGGAAGAAGAUGGUGCAACACUUGAUCCGAAGGCGGAGGAGGAAGAAAAUGAGGCAUCCAUCACUGGCGCGGACAAGGAGAGGGAAGCGGAGUCGUUGCCGCGAGUUCUGAAGGUGCGAGCUCGGAGGCAUAGGAUAAAUCGGAGGCGUGGAGGAGCAGCUGGCCUUGCUCGGAGAAGAGGCUCUUCAUCCGGCAGGCGAGUUGCUGGCUUGCUGCUGAGGGCAAUCUAGAGUGACCUGCAGCUACUGCCGAGGGCGAUCUGGAACUGCUGUUGAGGGCGACCUGGGGAGGCGAUCUGGAGAGGCGAGCGAGCAAAGCGGGAGGUGCGAGGCGAGCGGUCUGGAGGGUGUCUGGAGCGGGUGAUGGGCCAAGGCCCAAAGCCUACCAGCGUUUUUUUAAUACUACCCAACGUGGGAAUCGAACGAAGACGACCAGACGUACGAAAAAAGGAACGGAACGUACGAAAAGGCCUGGUGCACGAAAAAAGUGGAGAAACAAUCCUCCCUUUAAUAUUGGGUAGAGAGUAGAGAUUUGUCAAAUUUGCCAUCGAACGCGCGCUAUGGAUCAGACUUAUUUGAAUUUCAAAUUGCCCUUUAGAGGAACAUAUACAGGAAUAAAGCGUACAUAUAAGCACGAGAGAAAAUUUGCAGAUCA